Molecule: ribosomal RNA, 253 nt
Filed under: uncultured bacterium
Lineage: Bacteria
Description: partial 16S ribosomal RNA
Rfam family: Bacterial small subunit ribosomal RNA
Source: RNAcentral
UACGGAGGGUGCGAGCGUUGUUCGGAAUCACUGGGCGUAAAGCGCGUGUAGGCGGCCCACUAAGUCUGAUGUGAAAGCCCGGGGCUCACCCCCGGAAGUGCAUUGGAAACUGGUGGACUCGAGUCCCGGAGAGGAGAGUGGAAUUCCUGGUGUAGCGGUGAAAUGCGUAGAUAUCUGGAGGAACACCGGUGGCGAAGGCGGCAUCCUGGACCGGCAUUGACGCUGAGGCGCGAAAGCUAGGGGAGCAAACGGG